RNAcentral lists this ribosomal RNA (280 nucleotides) under uncultured bacterium. Its description in RNAcentral is "partial 16S ribosomal RNA". It matches the Rfam family "Bacterial small subunit ribosomal RNA", at positions 773 to 1060 of the family's 1533-position model. The record is from RNAcentral.
GUGGAUUAGAUACCCUGGUAGUCCACGCCGUAAACGAUGGAUACUAGCUGUUGGGAGUAAUCUCAGUGGCUAAGCGAAAGUGAUAAGUAUCCCACCUGGGGAGUACGAACGCAAGUUUGAAACUCAAAGGAAUUGACGGGGGCCCGCACAAGCGGUGGAGCAUGUGGUUUAAUUCGAUGAUACGCGAGGAACCUUACCAAGGCUUAAAUGUAGUUUGACAGAUUUGGAAACAGAUUUUUCUUCGGACAAAUUACAAGGUGCUGCACGGCUGUCGCCAGCU